GCAAGGAAUCUUGGGCAAUGGGCGAAAGCCUGACCCAGCGACGCCGCGUGAGGGAUGAAGGCCUUCGGGUCGUAAACCUCUUUUAUGGGGGAAGAAGUUCUGACGGUACCCCAUGAAUAAGCCACGGCUAACUACGUGCCAGCAGCCGCGGUAAUACGUAGGUGGCAAGCGUUGUCCGGAUUUACUGGGCGUAAAGGGCUUGUAGGCGGUUCGUUAAGUCUGGUGUGAAAUCUCCCGGCUCAACUGGGAGGGGUCAUCGGAUACUGGCGGACUUGAGGUAGGUAGAGGAAAGCAGAAUUCCUGGUGUAGCGGUGAAAUGCGUAGAUAUCAGGAGGAAUACCAGUGGCGAAGGCGGCUUUCUGGGCCUAUCCUGACGCUGAGGAGCGAAAGCGUGGGGAGCAAACCGGAUUAGAAACCCCAGUAGUCC
Molecule: ribosomal RNA, 427 nt
Filed under: uncultured bacterium
Lineage: Bacteria
Description: bacterial SSU rRNA
Rfam family: Bacterial small subunit ribosomal RNA
Source: RNAcentral